Molecule: ribosomal RNA, 252 nt
Filed under: uncultured bacterium
Lineage: Bacteria
Description: partial 16S ribosomal RNA
Rfam family: Bacterial small subunit ribosomal RNA
Source: RNAcentral
ACGAAGGGUGCUAGCGUUGUUCGGAAUUACUGGGCGUAAAGGGCGUGUAGGCGGCUUAUUUAGUUAGAUGUGAAAGCCCCGGGCUCAACCUGGGAACUGCAUUUAAUACUGGUAAGCUUGAGUACGGGAGAGGAAUGUGGAAUUCCGAGUGUAGAGGUGAAAUUCGUAGAUAUUCGGAAGAACACCAGUGGCGAAGGCGACAUUCUGGACCGUUACUGACGCUGAGGCGCGAAAGCGUGGGGAGCAAACAGG